RNAcentral lists this non-coding RNA (45 nucleotides) under Schistosoma mattheei. The record is from RNAcentral. Lineage: Eukaryota; Metazoa; Platyhelminthes; Trematoda; Strigeidida; Schistosomatidae.
AUUCAACCGACGAGUCUCAUAUAAGACGAAACGCGCUUACUGAAU